AGGUCAGAGGAGGAGGAGUGGUUGGAGGCUGAAGAGGCAACAAGUGUUAGCGAGCAAGAAGAGCAAUGGGCAUAAGAACAAAAAGAGACAGAGGCUGCAGAAACACCCAUGGAUCUUGUCAUUCCUACUGUAGGAAGUUCCCCUUCCCCCUUGUCUCCAAGGACACAGAGAGCUUUACGAGUAGCAGAACAAAGAGCACAGGUGGCCACUCCCUAACAUAGCUUAAGGCUGCUUGGGAAACAUCUGGCUGAGGGGGAGGAGACUUAGGGGGAAGUAGGAGGUGUGGAUCAUCAGCCCUGGCAACUGUUUCAUAGGGACCAGUCCUAUUCAGAGGCAUUGCUGCCUUGUAUGCUGCUUCCUGGAAUAAAGAGCUAACUUUUCGACUUCCGGGUUGGCGCCUCUGGCAAUGGCGGAUUUCCUCCGAUCGGGAGGAAUCUGCUCCGUGGAAAACAGGGUCUGAACCUCCACGGCGAGGUGGAGACCCAUCAAAAACCACAGGCGGGAGAAGCCUGUGGACGUGGGAUUCGGCCGGCACCUUUGCACCCCCCCUACUCACGGGGAAACCCGAUUUCGGGGUUCCGGAGCGACGUGGGGUGAGUGGCGCGGUGCCUUGAAUCGACUGCUUCUUUCACGGAGUGAAGCCGCAUUGCUGUUGCCGGAGAGCGCUGACUUUUUCCUGUGGACAAUUGGAGCUUAAAUAACUGUCCGUGAGUAGAACGGAAAAUUGGAAUAAGAAAUUUCUUUUAAUUUGGCACUGAAGCGGGAAGGUCUAAACAGGAAGUCUGCCUUCCGCUUUUUGUAAAUAGAUUGAAGCAAAGACACGGCAAGCUAGAGCUUAGAAAAUCGUCUGUAAAGGAUCAAUUUUCAUCAUUUAAAAUUACUGAACCCCCCUUGGAAGCAGGAGAAGAGGGGGGAACUUUUCUGGACUGAUUAAACUUGCAGAAGACAAGUAAAGAAAAGCAAUUCUCCACCGUCCUGAACCUGGGAGCGGGGUGUCAGGACAGACGUCUUCGGGAAGUUCAUUGACUAUAGACAAACGUUUUUGACAGAUAGUUAAAAGAAGAGAAACAUAUUGAUUCCAUUCCCCUUCGCAUCUAAAAGGAACAAAAUAUUGACAAAAUAUCUGAAAAAGGAAACUUUGUUGUUAGAUUUGCUUUAAAAAAAAAAAAAGGAGAGAGAUGGAUACAAAUAGAAGUUUUUUCCCCUAGAGGGAGCUUGUGAAACUGUUAUUAAAUUCGAACUGGGGAGCUUUGCAGCUGCAAUAGAUUAAGAUCGUGGGAACAGACUCUGACCUUCAACAACAAUGUAUUCGGAGGCUCUGGUGUUGGCCUUUUGUAAGACAAGUGCUUUAUUGGAACAGUUACAUGAGAAGAUGGAUUUGAUGACUGUUGGGAUCGGAAAGUUUGGACAGGCAGUGGGUACUUAUAUAGAACCCACUCAGGAGUUAACUCAGGAGUGUGCUUUGACAGAUCAGAUGAGGGAGGAGGUUGUUGCUGGACCUAGUGAGGCAGAGAUGGAGGGAACUGUGGCCCAGCAGGAACAUGAGUUGUUGGACUUGAUGAAUGAACCUGGAGAAAGCCAGAUUUGGAGAGACAGAGUUCUGUUUGGUUUGGAGAUGGGGGGCUGGAUAGACCCCCCUAUGCAGGGAUGUUUUGACCUUUCACGUCUGGCUUUGGGCCGGGAGGCGUCCGGGGUUGUGCGGGCCCUUAACUUUGGAGGGACUUUGAAACAUGCUUUUAAAUACCAUAUGGAAUUCAGUGUUGACUUUGGAAAAGGGGCUGAUCCGUCGAGAAGGGACAAAAACAUUGUCAAGCUGGAGUCUCCCCGAGUGAAAGGAGCAGAAGACAAAGUAAAGUACAGGUAUAAAUAUGAAGAAGAUCUGCGGAUGGGACAUGGAAGAGAUCCAAGGGCCUCGGAUAUAAGGUUACCAGGCUGAUGGACUAGAUGGAUGGGAUAGAAAGGACUGACAAAACCCGAGACCAGGAGAAAGAAACGUUGGAUGAAGAUUGGAAGAAAGUUUUAAACAAUUUAUUUAGGAAAAUUUUGUAAAAGUAAAGAGUAUUAGAAAAAUGUUGGAAUGAAAUUAUUUGGCUUUAGCAGAAAUGUUAAAAAGAAUUAUGUAAGAAUAUGCCAUGGUUAAGAGAAUUUGGUAUAAAUAAGAUUUAAGUUUUAAGUUUUAGGGCCUUUUAUGGUAAGAUAAGGUUAAAAUAGAUUAAGGUAAUUUAAUGACAGAAUAUUAUGAAAGAUGGAAAGGAUUUGCUGAGAUAAUUAACAACUAGAAUACAAAAAAGGGAGGUAUGAGGAGGUUGAUGAAACAAGGUAAUGACAGUUAAUGAUUUGGGAAUAUUGGAUCUGUUUUUAAAUUUUUUGUCUAUUUUUGUUUUUUGAUUUUGAUGUAUUAUGUAUUUUGUUUUUUUCUCUUUUUGAUCUUGUUUUUUUAUUGAUUCGUAUUGUUUAAAUGUUACUUGCCUUUUCCUUCUUUUUUUUCUUUGUUUCUUUGUAAUCUUAAAAUUCUCAAUAAAUAUUAUU
Podarcis lilfordi (Lilford's wall lizard) is the source of this 2529-nucleotide non-coding RNA. Lineage: Eukaryota; Metazoa; Chordata; Lepidosauria; Squamata; Lacertidae. The record is from the annotation of a GenBank genome assembly.